UGCCGCCCUGUCUUCCUCAGCGCCACCUCUGAGCACAGGUGGAACUGGUCCAAAUGUCGGCAAUGAUUGUGGAAGUGGAGGAUGAGCAAAUUCUUCAGUUGAAAUCU
Molecule: small nucleolar RNA, 107 nt
Organism: Hermetia illucens (black soldier fly)
Lineage: Eukaryota; Metazoa; Arthropoda; Insecta; Diptera; Stratiomyidae
Product: small nucleolar RNA SNORA5
Exons: 1
Source: RefSeq, a predicted model, not a curated record